GAAUUAUUAAAACUGAAAUUACUAUCUUUGGGAAGCAUAAAACUAAAGUCUAGGAACGAGAAAGGCAAAAUAUAAAGUUCAGCUACUGUUUAUCUUGUUCCUACUACACUAAGUUCUAGAGAUUUAUUUUGAAAACUUACAAAUCACAUGAUGAGUUCCUAGCAUAACAAACUACCUACCAUAGCCAUACUUGCUAUAACAUCUUUUACUAUAUUUACAUUGAGUUUGAUCGAGCUGUGUAGACCCUUAGGAGCUUUUCAUGUGGUUAAAUUAAGAUAUUCACUUGCACACAUCUACCACAGCAUUCAUCACCAAUCAUUAAAAUUGCUAAAAAUAUUAUCACUCACUGUCUCGAAUAUUGUUAUUAUCUCUCUCUAAAAAAAUUCAAUGUAGAAGAGGCAUGGGUUAUGCAAAAAUAUGCGAGGAAAUAAAAAGGGGCAAGUGCCCGGAACCUCGAUAAAAGAAAAAGAGUGAGACGAGAGGUAAAAAUGGACAAGUGUCCAGAGUAGAAUUAGGGGUACAAAGAUGCCCACUUGAGCGGAAAAAAAUGGACAAGUGUCCGACAGUAGAAUUAGGGGUAUCUACUACCCACCUGAAAAAAAAAGAGAAAAAGAUAGCCCAUGUUCUCCCAAAGCAAAGAUCAAAGAAGAGGAGAGAUAGCAAUAUGAGGAGCAAUGAGAAGUAAGUUAUCACUUAUACAUUUUUAUCAUCACUAUCAUUUAUUCCAUCACACAUGCACAUCUUGAUUUAAUUAUAUGCUGAGUUCCUUUGGAUCCAUGGCUCGAUUAGACAACAUAUGUAUGAGCUGUUUUUCACUCCUAUGAGCUCCACUUAAAUAUCCCUUAGCUAUAGGUAAGUGACAUUAUGGUAAGGAUCCACAAAUACCACAUAUAGAGAGACUUGAGAGAAUCAUUGCUGGUAACUCUGAGUUUUAUUUUUGAAAACUUAUGAAAAACUCUAGAACAAAGGUGAAGUAUAGACAGGAGGGAUAGUACUUGACUUAACUAUUUUGUCUUUCGAUUACUUAAGACUUGAUUGCAGGUACUAAACUCCAUAACACUUCACUCUAAUCUGGAAGAAUUUUUAUGUAAAAGCAUGUGUGCCUGUCACGAAAGAAAACAUCGAAGCAACUUCUGAUUCGUCUAAGUUUAGCUAGUUGCUCAGGGACGAGCAAAGGGUAAGCUUGGGGGAGUUUGUUGACGGUCCUUAAGUACUAAAAUUAAUAAUCAAAUAAACAUGAAAAAGGAUCAAUAUGAAACAAACAUCUAGAAUUAGGGUUUUAUCUAACAGAAUUCCACGAGCUUUGGUGUUUAUCUAUUUCUGCAGGGGGUUAUCAGAUAAUAUGGAGAGAAUGCCCACAUGUCAUGUUUACAACGAGAUAAUUACGUGCUGCGCAAUUUUCCUCAAUCUAGAAGAGUCCAGAAGCCACGGGAACGAACGAGAGCACGAUCGGGCUAGGGGGUAGGGCGGCCGCCCACCCCCUUGGGCGCCCGCCUAGGGUUGGAGUCCAACCAGGACUCUGCUUCGGGACUACGCUCCACCGACCUAAAGGAUCAAUCUAAACCAUACAAUCUAUGUCGGUUUGAUCCAAUGGCUCACGUUCACUUGAGGGGACUAUAAAACCAGACCCCCUGGCCUCUGGAGGAGAAGAGAAGAAAUCAUUAUUCAGAGGUAGCCAUCAAAGUUAGGGUUUAGAGCUUCUCUCCCACAGAGAAUUAGAAUUAGCUACUCCCUAAUCCUUCAAGUUUAGAGGUUUGAUUAGAUAGCAAUUAGAGAAGUAGAGCACUACGCUCUGGAUUCGGAUCUUCGGUAAUAAAGAUUGGUAUUAUUCAUAUAUUUCUCUAAUUCUUUGUUCUAAUUGCAUUAUGUCACUAAUUAUUAUGUUCUUAGUUUGCUCUAGUUCUAUAUUUGAUAUAGUUCUAAUUGAUAAUGAGUUUAUGUAUAAGUUUGCAAAGCGCUUAGCUCUUGACGCGAGGGAGUUAGGUGAUAGAUCACAUGUGAGCAUGGUGCUUAGAUGUUAUUUAUCUGCAAAUUUAUCCUAUUGGCCGGGUCGUGUGGUAGUUCGCGAUAGUGACAGCUUCGUUGAUUCUUAUAUAGUCCACCCUCCGUUGAUAGGACAGGCAGAACCGGUAUUGUGGAGUAGGUCAUGCGAUGCUCUGAUUUACUUUAUCAACGUUCCUUAUACAUGAAUGAAGAGUCUUUUAUGCUAUAUAUGAUCUUGUAGAUAACUAGAGUAGAUUAUGACUUAGUAGUUAGUAGAUAACUUAGAAUCCAUUCUCUAGCUAAUCCGACAUCAGCUACAUAUGAGUAGUCUAUUUUCUAAUCGCUGUGUCAUCUACCCAUGAACUUAUACUUUAUUAUCAUUAUCUUUAUGGUUUAUCCCCUGCUAAAGUAAGUGACUGUGUGACGAGUUUCUCAUUAGUAAUCAUGUUCUUGCAAGUUUAUCUCUAGUCUAUGCCUUGAUAGAUUUUGCCCCCUUGAUUUAAUUUCAUCUUAGAUCCCUUGAGCAAAAUUAUAAAUAACGAUACCUGGAAUACUUAUCCUGGUGAAAUGCUACAAUGAGGUGUUUUAUCUGUGCGCUUGCGGAUAGAAUAGAUUAUUUUCUAGAGAGCCUUUACAUUUAUAAAUACCUUUGUACACUCUGGCACCAUGCUGGGGAUGACAACCUAGUAUCUAAGUGGUGUUAGCUAGUGUCAACAAGCAUUUCUGGCGCCGUUGCCGGGGAGUUAUAGGACUUAUACGAAUCUCAUAAGUAAGUCAUAAAAGGGUAAUAUAUAGGAUCGGUAAGGGAAGCCAGAAAAUCAAUCAAGGAUUAUUCACAUAAAACAUUAGACUAGACUAUAGAGAAAUAAUUGCAUAAAACAGCUACUAAGUGAGAAAUCAUAACAAGGCACCUCUGCUUUGGCAGGUUCACCCUGUUGUUUUUCUAUGUUUAUAUUUUUAUACAGGGUAUAACAGGAUUGACUUUGGGUACAUUCAACUCUCCAUCAUCAGAACCAAAGCAAUCAAGAGAAGAAGAAGCUAGCUACCAAUUGCUGAAGCUAUGGCACACAAGACCUUGCAAGAAUUCUCUGCUCCAAGCCUUGAGAACAUUCCAACUGGUCCAAGAUUUGCAGUAGAAGAAGGAAUACCUGAGUUUGAGCUCAAGUCAAGCGUCAUCAAUUUGGUGCAAGCUACACAAUUCAGUGGAAAGGCACAUGAAGAUGCUAGUGCUCACUUGCAGAAUUUCUUAGAGAUUGGGAGCACAAUCCACAUCAACGGAGUUGACAAAGACGUCAUACUGCUUCGCCUUUUUCCAUUCUCACUAGAAGGGAAAGCGAGGAAGUGGUUCUACACUCAUCAAGAUAACAUCAACAACUGGACGAACUUGUCAGAUGCCUUUCUAUCAAAGUUUUUCCCUAUAGGCAAAACAACUGCCUUAAGAGGAAAUAUUGUCAGUUUCCAACAACAGAAGACGGAAGCAAUUUCAGAAGCAUGGGAGCGUUUUCAAGGAUACAUUUCCGAUUGCCCUCACCAUGGAAUGGCCACAUGGUUACUUAUGCAGACCUUCUACCAUGGAUUAACCCAGAAGGCUCGUGAGUGCCUAGAUGCAUCUGCUAAAGGAUCAUUCUUGGAGCUUACAACUGGAAAAGCAGAAAUACUUUUGGAUAAGAUAGCAGAAAACCAAAGCUGGUUCCAAGAUAAAGCUCAACAAUGUCAUCAAACUGAAGAAAUACCAGAAGAAGUAAAUGCAUUAUUAACUAAGAUGGAAAAUUUGCUCCAUUGGAAUGACCAAAGGGCCAAAUUCAAAGAAGAUCAAAGGGCCAUUGAGACAGCAUACAAAUAUCAACCAACUUCGAGUCAACCCAAUAGCAAAGGUAUGAAUUCAGGUAAUACUUUCAAGCAACUUUCAUUAAAAGAGAUAAUUGCUCAACAAACCAAAAUUAAUGAUGAAGUUAAACAAAGGCUAGAUACAAAUGAAUCAUCUCUAAAAGAUAUACACAAUAAAAUGGAUUUUCUACUAACUGCCUUUGAUGAGCAAAACACUCUUAAUAAAAGGGUAGAGCUUAAAUUAAUAAAGAUAGCUGCUGCACUGCCUGUUGCUACUAACCUUGAGCAGGUAAAGAAUAUAACUACUAGAGGAGGUAAAGCUACCAGAGAUCCUCCAUACCCAAAAGAGAAACAAAGAACAUCAGCACCAGUGCAACCAGCAGUAAUAGAAGAAGAAAGCCCAGUUGAAGCAGAAGACCUGCUCCAACCACCAAGAACUGGAGAAAUGAGGAAAGAUUUUUAUGACACCAACUAUUUGCCAUUUCCUAGAAGAAACAGAGGACUGCAGUCGGAUGAGCAGUUUGGUAAGUUUGUAGAGGUCAUUUAGAAAUUAUAUGUCAACAUACCUCUGCUCGAUGCCAUACAGGUACCUACAUAUGCAAAGUACAUCAGAGAUAUUCUUAAUAAGAAGAGACCACUGCCCACCACUGAGGUUAUCAAGCUGACAGAAGAAUGCAGUGCGGCCAUCCUCAACAAACCACCAAAGAAGAAGGAAGAUACCGGAUGUCCCACUAUUGACUGCUCAAUCGGAAACCAACACUUCAACAAUGCACUUUGUGAUCUCGGAGCAAGUGUCAGUGUGAUGCCAGCAUCAGUCUACAAAAAGCUUGAGCAUGCAACCUUAGAACCAACAUCAAUGUGCCUACAACUAGCGGAUCAAUCGGUUCGACACCCGUUGGGCAUCGCCGAGAACAUUCCAGUCAAGAUCAGAGAUUUCCUGGUGCCAGUAGACUUCAUAGUACUGGACAUGAGCCCUGACUCAAAAGUGUCCAUCAUCCUUGGAAGGCCAUUUCUAAGCACUGCCAAUGCCCACAUUGAUGUCGGAAAUGGAGAAAUCAAGUUCAACAUAAACGGUCAAGAAGAACACUUCACAUUCAAACCCAGACCAGAGAGAGACUCUACAGUGAAGGAAGUUCAUGAAGAACCACUGGAGACACCAUCUCCGGAGGAAGGUAACUCCGAAGAUUAAAAUAUUUGGAGGUCCAGCUUGGGGGACCUAAAAAUCCCAAACCCUCACCGGGAGGUAAAUCGGUAUUUAUCCGCAUUAUUAUUUUUCUCAUAUUUAAUUCUUGCAUAAUUAAAUCUUGCAUUAGUCACAUUUAUUCAUAGCAAUAUUAUAAUAAUCAAAAGCCCCAUAUAAAUAAUAUUCGUGGUGUGUAACAACCCAUAUUUAUUAAUUAUUGUGGAGGCACAAAAAUAUUUUCCAUUAUCAUUUUAAUUAAGUUUCAAUUCUCAUAGAUUUUUCCUACAUUAUAUCUAAUUAUAUUAAUAUUAUAGAAGCAUGACCCACACUUCUUGGGUCCCACAUGUCAUACACUUCACCUGACAUACAUCCCAUCACAUAAUUUCAUCCACCAAUAUGUUUCCACUCACCUGACAUCUUUCCACCGUCCAACCACCACCAACACAACAUUAUUCUGCGUAAGAUCAAAGCAAGGAAGCAAGUGGAGAGAGAACAGCCAGGAUGGGCAUCACAAGUGGGCGCCCGCCCACCUACCAAGGGCGCCCGCCCUGUCCCUCUUCCUCCUAUAAAAGGCCACCUCCAGCUCUCCUUCUCUUCACACAAACACUCCAGAAAACCACACAAGUUUCAGUUUCCCGAGAAGGAGCUCUUGUAGUGAAGAGAAGAAAGUAGAGAGAAAGAGGAGAGUGGAAGGGAAGGUUGGGAAUUCUUUUGAGAGAGUGUUUGUCACCUAGCAAGUAGUGAUCCCGCUGUCCAAGCGAAAGUAAAAGUUGUUUGGGGGGAGGCUCUACCAAAAUAGAAAUUUGUCUUGAACGAUUAACCCCUGGUCUACUGAUAUUCCGGACAGCUGACCACUAACAUUUUCUCUCACAUUUUCCACUAGUUGUGUCUUGCCAACUUUUGUUUACAGGAUGUUUAAGAAGGUGAAGAAUGCAGGGAAGGCUCUCAAGAACAUUGGUACAAGGAGUUCAGCCCGACACUCCUCACAGCCAUCAGAGAUGAGCGUCGACCCAACACCCACACAAGCUCCAACAUCUUCAUUAGGUCAGCAAGUUAAGGUCCUUCUCAAGAUAGGAGACCUAGGACUGAAGACCCGAAGAGAGAAGGAAGUCUAUCAGCAACUGAAGAAUAAAGAUUUCAUUCAUACCCCUACUCUCGAUCCAAUCCUACUACAAGAAACAGGUAUGGACACUGAAUUCGACUUAAUUUUUCAGAUGAUGGGUUGGACAAAUUUUUGGAAUAUAACUGAGCUGGGUUCUCGUCUUCUCACCCUCGAAUUUCUUUGCACCUUACAAUACUAUGAGGGAGGAAUUGUUUUUCGGAUGUUCAAACAGGAAAUUAUGUUGUCUUGGAGAGAGCUAAGCGACCAUCUUGGUUUCUCUUCGAGAUGCAUCCUGGACAUUGACUCCGAUUUACCCAACUUUGAGAGAGACCAGUUUUGGAGAGAAAUAUCUAGAGAUAAUUUUUAUAGUCAAGCCCGAACCAGUGACAUGGAACACCCCACUCUUAGAAUGUUCCACAAAUGGCUUGGGUACAAUCUUUUCUAUCGCGAUGAUAUUAGGAAAGUAAGAGUAGGAGAUUUACAACUUUUAUAUGCUGCUAUUAGUAAAGUACCCACUUCGCCUGUUACACUAUUAGUUUCACAUUGGCUUAGUAUACCUAGUCUACAGGGACCAGUAGGAUGUACUUCACUUAUCACUCGUCUAGCCUCUAAUCUUCACUUACUAGAAAAUUCAUCGUUGGACAUCAUAGAAGAAUUAAGAAUUUAUCAUGGCUAUGACACAUUUAGACAAGCUCGGAUGUUAAAGAAAGAGGGGAAUAUAAUGUAUAUGCUAUAUGAUGAUAAAGGCAAGAUUCGGUUACCUAACCCGAACCUUGGCCUCUACGUUGUUCAAAACUUUUUGAUUGAGAUUACAGCAACACCAGUGAACCAGAGAACUCCACAGCGAGUGGCAUCUGAAAGGAUAACCACUCACCGAGAACGCACCUGGUAUGGAGCUGACCCCGGACCAGAAGAAGCAGCACAUCUGCAUUAUUGCGAUUACAACCCUCGAGUCCUUCGAGACCCAUGGGUUCGUCAUGCGCAACCACAAGAGCCAACAGAGGAGACAUGGCCGGAGAGCCAAGAUCACCAGUGGACAAACCCGCCUUUUCAUACGGGCAGGUACUCCACUGAUCCAUAUGGAGCUUCAGGAUCCAGACCUCCGCCCCAAUUUGAUGCAGGACGAUACUUCGACGCCUCCUACGCUUUCACGAAUGACUACUAUCAAGAGGCCGGUGCUUUCUUCACUCGUACCGACAACACCCUCCUCGACAUCCAGAACACGCAAGCAGAACAUGGAAGACUCCUGGAAGAACAACAAAAAUGGAACCAGGGCCAUGCCGCUGCAGUGCAAGAGUUGAGACAAGAUACAACAACAAUGAACGACAACAUCACAACCAUGAUGCGGUUCUGGAACAUCGGGUAAGACCGACGGCAACAUCCAGCUUGGGGGAGUUCCUCCCCAAUUUAUCAAGUAAGUUUUUAUUUGCACCUCUUAUUUAUUCUUUUCUAUUUUAGUAUUUUAUCUUAAAAAAAAAACUUAGAAAACCCAAUAAAUAUUUUCUUGCUUUAAUUUACUGCAUUCUAUAAACAUGAAAACAAAAUAAAAAUAGUGUGUAGAUAAGUGUGCUUUAUUUAUCUGCUAAGUCUUAGUCUCUAGAAAAAUAAAAAGACCAAAAAGAUGCAUGAUGGAAAUGAUGAAUAGCUGCUCUGUUUGCUUACUUUCCAGUACCUAGCUUUUAUACUAGAGUUCUUCCAGGAAUUAUUAAAACUGAAAUUACUAUCUUUGGGAAGCAUAAAACUAAAGUCUAGGAAGGAGAAAGGCAAAAUAUAAAGUUGAGCUACUGUUUAUCUUGUUCCUACUACACUAAGUUCUGGAGAUUUAUUUUGAAAACUUACAAAUCACAUGAUGAGUUCCUAGCAUAACAAACUACCUACCACAGCCUUACUUGCUAUAACAUCUUUUACUAUAUUUACAUUGAGUUUGAUCGAGCUGUGUAGACCCUUAGGAGCUUUUCAUGUGGUUAAAUUAAGAUAUUCACUUGCACACAUCUACCACAGCAUUCAUCACCAAUCAUUAAAAUUGCUAAAAAUAUUAUCACUCACUGUCCCGAAUAUUGUUAUUAUCUCUCUCUAAAAAAAUUCAAUGUAGAAGAGGCAUGGGUUAUGCAAAAAUAUGCGAGGAAAUAAAAAGGGGCAAGUGCCCGGAACCUCGAUAAAAGAAAAAGAGUGAGACGAGAGGUAAAAAUGGACAAGUGUCCAGAGUAGAAUUAGGGGUACAAAGAUGCCCACUUGAGCGGAAAAAAAUGGACAAGUGUCCGAUAGUAGAAUUAGGGGUAUCUACUACCCACCUGAAAAAAAAAAAGAAAAAGAUAGCCCAUGUUCUCCCAAAGCAAAGAUCAAAGAAGAGGAGAGAUAGCAAUAUGAGGAGCAAUGAGAAGUAAGUUAUCACUUAUACAUUUUUAUCAUCACUAUCAUUUAUUCCAUCACACAUGCACAUCUUGAUUUAAUUAUAUGCUGAGUUCCUUUGGAUCCAUGGCUCGAUUAGACAACAUAUGUAUGAGCUGUUUUUCACUCCUAUGAGCUCCACUUAAAUAUCCCUUAGCUAUAGGUAAGUGACAUUAUGGUAAGGAUCCACAAAUACCACAUAUAGAGAGACUUGAGAGAAUCAUUGCUGGGAACUCUGAGUUUUAUUUUUGAAAACUUAUGAAAAACUCUAGAACAAAGGUGAAGUAUAGACAGGAGGGAUAGUACUUGACUUAACUAUUUUGUCUUUCGAUUACUUAAGACUUGAUUGCAGGUACUAAACUCCAUAACACUUCACUCUAAUCUAGAAGAAUUUUUAUGUAAAAGCAUGUGUGCCUGUCAGGAAAGAAAACAUCGAAGCAACUUCUGAUUCGUCUAAGUUUAGCUAGUUGCUCAGUGUAACACCCGAUUUUAAGAACAAAAUCAGAUAUGCACCAUAUGUGAGUUUUAGAAGACAAGCCUCACAUAUAGCUACAAAUAAGGGGUAAUACCAAAGGACAACGCAUAAAUUACAUAGCGUACAUAGAAAAUCAGAAACAACCUUAGGCAGGAAACCACGGAAUAUAACUCCAAACUUCGGGUGUUAACUUCACUCUACAGGAUCCAACUGACUGGUUGAUCACAAGCCCAAUACUUCUCCUGAGGUGUGGGGGGAGAUAGCAAGAGUGAGUUCAAGACGAACUCCGCAAGUAUAACAACUAGAUUGUAUAGAUCCCACAAUCUCAUGAUCAAUGUGACAUAAAUAAUAUAGAGCAUUAAACAAUAAUCAAUGAGUUUCUUAACACAAGAUUCAUCACCCUUAAUGUAAGAGUUCCCAAGGCCGCUCGUGACCGUGAGCACGGCUAGUAUACCAGUUUUUAACACUCUGCAGAUGUUGUACAUCUUUACCCAUGAGUCAUGAUUUACCCUUUCGCCUGAGGUGAUCAGCCUCGUAACCCACUACCAAGGUAGGUCGGCAGGGAUCACUAUGAAGUCUUUCAAAGGUUCGUCUAACAAGUUAGGGCCGCUUGGUUUCGGUAGUCAGUCCGUGUGAUUCUACCACUCGCAGGGAAUCCACGGUCUGCUAUCCCCCAUUUGCGCCACACGGGUAACCUCUAACAAGCUAGAAAAGUUACUCAUACUUGACUAAAGCCAGAGCCAUUAUAGCCCUCAUGGUUGCACUUUCAUCCCGGUUAUCACUUACGAAUAAAUCCUCAAGUUGUUAAAAAGUCAUUAUUAAUAUUUGUUGCUUUAUAUCAAUCUAGUCACAAGAUCAUGAUCAUAGAAUUAAAACCAAAAUGCUAUACUUGCCUUGAUCCAAUUGCUCCUGCUGGUCCUGCUGAUCUUACUUGCCUCCAAGACUCUGAUCUUGAUCACCGAAGUAAUGCCCAGUGACUAGGCUCGGUCACCAAACAUCAACACACAAGCAAUCGGAGACAGACAUACACGAAGCAAACAAGAUUACAAUUAGAACAGUACACCAGCAGUAAAUAAAUUUAAAUAAAAGUUUUCAAAAAACAUCUACACGCUGCUACGAUCACGUCAACGCAAAAUUCACGCAAAACGGAGUUACGACGCGAAAUCUACGCAUUAACCGGGACUGCAGAGGCUAUCUACGGACUUGUAUUUAACUAGGAAAUCUAUCAGUGGUGAAUCUAAACAACAAAGGUACCAACGCGAAGCUUAUGAAAUUAUAAAACUAACGCAACUUGAACGGAUCGAAUCGGAGCUAAAACGGAGAAGAUAUGAAUUUUCUAAGAUUUUCCUAUAGUAAGUAAUUAAUUAAAUAGGGUCACAAAAUUAAAAUGUUUCAAAUUGUUAAACCAAGUUUACUAACACGUAGAUCUCAUGAUUACGAACCUAACGCAAUUUGAACGGGUCAAAUCGGAGCUGAAACGAAUAUUUUAUGGCCUAAACAAACUCAGUGGCAAUUCUGUAAUUACUGAAAACGUAUUUUGAAAUAAAUCAGCAGACUUUACGUUUUCAAAAAAUAGAAAGUGUAUUCCUUCAUAUGCGCUUUGAACCGCGGGUUGUUUUAAGAAAAACACAGGGUCUCUUUAACAAAACUCCCUGCGAAGGGGUAUCUUGUAUUCUUGACCGUUGAUGUGCAAUCCGACGGUUGGAAAUUGACCCAGGGAAAAGGAGGGGCACCGGUCGCCGGAGGGGAGGAGGGAGACGGCGGCGCAGCCAUUGCUGCCGCGCGGAGCUCACCGGCGAAGGCCGUUCAGGCGCUAUGGUGCGAGGUUUUCAAAUCCGAGAGCACCGGAAGAGAGAGAAGGAGAUGGCGAGUCCAUCCCUGACCCUUGCGUGGCCGGGGGCGAGCCCGCGUGGCUCGCGUCAUGGCCGGCGGACAUGGACCUCUGCGGUGCGCGUGGCCAGGGCGCUAGGAAGCCCCAAAAUGCUCGGGAAUUGGACCGGGAGAGAGCGGAAGGGGAGGGGAGCUCACCAGCGCGAAGAACUGGGUCGGAGGAGGCUCGGUUUGGCCCGUUGGCGCUCGGUGAAUCGCGGCGGCGCUCCGGCGACGGCUCUCGGCGCUUGCGCACGGAAACUGAGGUGGAGAGGAGCGGAAUGAAGAGUGGGAGCAGCGGGACUGGCUUGGGCGCGUCCAAAAGGCAAGACACGGGGGGGAGGGGAAAUGGGAUCGUGGGAGCGGGGGGCGCGGCAUGCGGCCGGCAGUUCGACUGCAGAGAGAGAGGGGAGGAGGCGGUUGCGGGAGGAGAGGGGAGAAGCUGACAAUCGGGCCCCACGCGUCAGAGAGAGGAGGGAGGAAAGGAGGGUGGCUGCUGGCUGGGCCUGGCCCAAGAAGAAGCAAGGGGCGCGGGUGGGGGUUUCUGGGCCAAAGGCCGAAAGGGAGGGGGAAAUUCCAACUUCCAUUUAUAUUUUUUUUUAUACCAAAUUUUCCAAAUACAUUUUCCAAUUGAAUUUUUUGAGUAAUUUGACACUUUAUUUUUAAAACAAUCAUCACAAUAAAAUGCACCAGCAUGUAUGCAUCAAAAUAAGUUUCUAACCUUAUUUAAAUUUUAACUUCCCAAAAAUUAUUAUUAUUAUUUUUUUCCUAUAUUUUAAUGCUCACAAAAUUGACUAUAAAAAUCAAAUUCAACUAUUUAAAAAGAAGCAAUUUUUAGGAUGUUACAAUUCUACCCCCCAUAAAAUGAAUCUCGUCCUCGAGAUUCGAAAGGGGCUUAGGUCCUUUGAGAGAAACAGGAAAUUAUCUUGAUAAUACUUUCAACUUGACAACUUGCAUACCAAACUUAAACACUUAUACCGCAAGGUCACAUCUCGUGAACAAAAUUUCCAUUGAAUAACUAUUAUUCAUAAGUUGACCAAAGUCCAUCUUGACUACUAAUUUCUUUUAGCUUACAACUCCAAGAGACAUGGAAACUUAAUAUGCAUUUGCCUCCUCAGGUAGGAGUGGACCACCGUGAUACUCAAUUCUUUUUCCUGACGGUGCUGUUAAGAGCAUUUUGUAUUGGGUACCAUAGAUCACUCCUUUGUGUGCACACAACCAUCCAUUACCAAGGACCAAGGGAAUACCAAGCGGCUCUAGCACAAUGAGGUUUACAGUGAAGUUUUCCUUGUUUAUGACCAGAUUGAUAUUUGAGCACACCUGAUCUGCUUGUAUUUCUCCCACUGGGGUUUGAACUAACAAAGGCUUCCUCGUUGGGCACUUCACCCACUCGAUCGUCUUUACCAAGUCAGCAGAAAUGAAAGAAUGCGAAGCACUCGGGUCAAACAGAGCAAAAACUUGCACUGAGUCUACUUGAAUAUAGCCACCAACCACUUUGGUAGCUCCAUGAAUGUUAUGCCUAUCCACAUUGCUCAGUCUUCCAUUGAUAUAGUCCCGUUGCACCUUAUUUCCAUGAGUAGACUUCUUAUAGCUUUUCCUUUUUCUCUUUCGCCGUUGUGGAUUCUGAUUUGAUUCACUUCCAACUUGCUCUUUAGUAUCAUUAUUUUGAUAGUACUCGGUCUCAUCAUACUCAUAAAAUCCAUCAAGGAUAGGAUCAUCAUUCUCUUCCCACGUAUCAGUAAGAGGCAUCAUAUAGGGCUCCUGAUCCAUGGGAUACUACACUCCCUGUCAUCAGGUGACCAACAUCAAUAACAUGAGAAGAAGAGAUGAUCAUAUCCAUAGAAUAUCUCAAGAGACAACUCUCACUUCAGGAUAAGUUGAAAAUGCGUCAACCCGUGAUAUCAAGGUACUACCCCCCUUAAGAAAGGUCGACUAGCAGGCACAAGGAAGGUAGCUUGAACUUUUUCUUGACAAGUUAUCUUGCAAUGAGACCCUUUUGACAUCCUAAGGAACUUAUGUGCAAGGAAGAAACAAAUAUCCUGAUUUUCCUCGCGAUAUGAAAAUCACCAGCGCAGUAAAAUGGACAUAACUCUUGUUUUGUUAAUCCAAUAGGGUUAUAGCUUAUACUGUUAGAAAGCUUAGAGAAUUUGCUACAACCUUUCUAUAGAACACUUUUCCAAAUUCUAUAGUUAUAUUUGUCCAAAACAGCAGGCAACCAAAACUGGUCUAGAUUCUUGACAGGACAUCUGUAUCGUCUUGUGAUUUUUGUAACUUCCAAACCGUAAUAGCUAUGAGGGUGAUUCUUGAGGUCAGAGAAAGAUCUCGAAGUCUAUUAUCAUCCAGAAUUUUCUCAUGAUUUUCGGUCAUCCCAGAUAAAAGAUAUGAACUGAUAAAGAAGUGAUACUUCGGAAGGCACGAUAAGAUAACAAGAGAAAAACCAAAACCCAACUAUUUAUGUCAUUAAUCCUUAUGCCUUAGUCAUGUAAACUAAAUGAAAUUGUGAAGAAACUCACAAGAUCAUUACACUCAUUACAAAGAUCCAAAUCAAACAUAAACAUAAAGGCAAUUCAACCAAGCAGUAAAGGUUCACAAGGCACACAAACUCGACUUUCGCUGCUAGCGUUUUUAUUACACAAGGGCACAAACUCCUAUAUCUUAAACUCAGUGUGGCUUCUUUCAUGAUGCAUCUAUGGAUUCCUUUGUGGACAAGGGUUUACAUAGUGUCCUUCCUGUCGGCAGUGAUAACACUUUUUCUUAGCUGGAUCCAUUGUGAUGUCAUUUUCCACUGAGGUGUUGCUCGGUGUGUUAUCAGCUUGCUGACUCUGAAGGUUUGUCUCUGGCUGGCUAGCUUUCUUCCUAACUUGGUUGAUGCUUCGAGGUUGAAACUCUUUAUAAGUGAUUGUCCAUCCAUCUAUGUAUACCUCAUGAGCAGUGGGGUUAGCUUGAGAAGUUUCUUCAUCUCCAAGGUUUGGAUUUUCAUGGCCAGAGUUCAAAGCUAAAUGUGACAACAUAGGAUUUGAAUGUUGUUCGCUUCCCAAUGCUGGCUCUAGUGAUUUUGCCUUCCUCUUCUUAUCCUCAUUAGUCACACCAUUUGAUGUUACCUUAACUUUCUUUUUAGAUGACCUAUUCCGACGACAAGGAAGACCAUAAUGCCUACAGCAAUGGCAUUGACCCUGAGAUCCCGAUGUACUACUACCAACACCAUGGGUUCUCAUAUUUUUCCAAGCUUCUGCUACUUGUCUCUUCACUGGUCCUGAGAUGCACUGCUGAGAGUUUCGAUUCUGAGCCAUUCCUUCCACUACUUGCUUUUGCAUGGCUAGAAGCUUCUCCUUGUCGAAUGCUUUUAUGGGUGGCGAAGCGAGGUCCUUUUGUCCAUUCAUGCCAAAGGUCUCCUCAUUAUGAGCCAUCUAAAUAGACAAGGUGGGAGGAUUUAGAAUAGAGACAAAGUUUUUAUAAUAGAAUAGGGUAGAGGUAAGCAUAAAUUUUAGCAAUUAUCGAGGUUAAGGUGAAAGCAAGAAGUAAGCAGAGAUAGAAGCAGGCUAAAACGUCCGGUUCUAACUAGGCUUGCGUCCUACAGUCAGCAUUGCUUUGAUACCACUUUGUAACACCCGAUUUUAAGAACAAAAUCAGAUAUGCACCAUAUGUGAGUUUUAGAAGACAAGCCUCACAUAUAGCUACAAAUAAGGGGUAAUACCAAAGGACAACGCAUAAGUUACAUAGCGUACAUAGAAAAUCAGAAACAACCUUAGGCAGGAAACCACGGAAUAUAACUCCAAACUUCGGGUGUUAACUUCACUCUACAGGAUCCAACUGACUGGUUGAUCACAAGCCCAAUACUUCUCCUGAGGUGUGGGGGGAGAUAGCAAGAGUGAGUUCAAGACGAACUCCGCAAGUAUAACAACUAGAUUGUAUAGAUCCCACAAUCUCAUGAUCAAUG
RNAcentral lists this long non-coding RNA (14764 nucleotides) under Sorghum bicolor (sorghum). RNAcentral describes it as "long non-coding RNA (SBIC_LNC006774)". Lineage: Eukaryota; Viridiplantae; Streptophyta; Magnoliopsida; Poales; Poaceae. The record is from RNAcentral.